This 73-nucleotide transfer RNA is filed under the name Limnonectes blythii (giant mountain frog). RNAcentral describes it as "tRNA-Gln". It matches the Rfam family "tRNA". Rfam says of the family: Transfer RNA (tRNA) molecules are approximately 80 nucleotides in length. Their secondary structure includes four short double-helical elements and three loops (D, anti-codon, and T loops). Lineage: Eukaryota; Metazoa; Chordata; Amphibia; Anura; Dicroglossidae. The record is from RNAcentral.
UAAGGAGUAGUAUAAUAUGGAAGUGCGGAGGGUUUUGAUCUCUUAGGUAUAGGUUCGAUUCCUAUUUUCUUAA